AGGUAUGAGGGUGAUCUUGCUGCAACAUCUAUCACCCCACUGAUUGCCAGAGUUGAUUUGGCUGAUCUGGCUGUCCUCUUCCCUCACUGCUCCAUGUGCAUCUCUCCCAAAGCUAUGAGCUCAGUGGAAGAGGAUGACCUUCUCUGAUAGAGGAGAAGAUAGACCUUUCUUUGGUCAAGGGUAUACGAGUAGCUUUGCUCCCCUCCUAGAACCUCAAAUAAACAAAGUCCAUCUGUAGGAGAAUAUAGGGUAGUCAAGCUUCCAAGACUUCAGACACACCUAUAUGAGGUGAUGUGUGUGGCAGUCUGCCUUUCUUA
Molecule: unclassified non-coding RNA, 317 nt
Organism: Vulpes vulpes (red fox)
Lineage: Eukaryota; Metazoa; Chordata; Mammalia; Carnivora; Canidae
Gene: 7SK
Rfam family: 7SK RNA
About the family: 7SK was discovered as an abundant small nuclear RNA in the mid-70s but a possible function has only recently been suggested. Two independent studies have found that 7SK RNA binds the CDK9/cyclin T complex (known as elongation factor P-TEFb). P-TEFb activates transcription by phosphorylating the C-terminal domain of RNA polymerase II.
Source: Ensembl